GCUUGUCUCAAAGAUUAAGCCAUGCAUGUCUUAGUGUAAAUAACUCUUAUGAAACUGCGAAUGGCUCAUUAAAUCAGUUAUCAAAUACGUGAUGGUCGCCUACUACAUGGAUAACCGUAGUAAUUCUAGAGCUAAUACAUGCGAAAAGUCCUGACUUCUUCGUGAGGUAGGGAUGUAUUUAUUAGAUACAAUCAAACGCACCAACAUAAAACCUUGGUGAUUCAUAAUAACUGUUCGGAUCGUAUGGCUUUUUGCCGACGACAGAUCAUUCAAAUUUCUGCCCUAUCAGCUUUCGACGGUACUGUAGUGGACUACCGUGGCAUUAACGGGUGACGGAGAAUUAGGGUUCGAUUCCGGAGAGGGAGCCUGAGAAAUGGCUACCACAUCCAAGGAAGGCAGCAGG
This 403-nucleotide ribosomal RNA is filed under the name uncultured eukaryote. RNAcentral describes it as "partial small subunit ribosomal RNA". It matches the Rfam family "Eukaryotic small subunit ribosomal RNA", at positions 30 to 432 of the family's 1831-position model. The record is from RNAcentral.